GACGAACGCUGGCGGCGUGCUUAACACAUGCAAGUCGAACGGAAAGGCCCUGCUUUUGUGGGGUGCUCGAGUGGCGAACGGGUGAGUAACACGUGAGUAACCUGCCCUUGACUUUGGGAUAACUUCAGGAAACUAGGGCUAAUACCGGAUAGGAGCUCCUGCUGCAUGGUGGGGGUUGGAAAGUUUCGGCGGUUGGGGAUGGACUCGCGGCUUAUCAGCUUGUUGGUGGGGUAUUGGCUUACCAAGGCUUUGACGGGUAGCCGGCCUGAGAGGGUGACCGGCCACAUUGGGACUGAGAGACGGCCCAGACUCCUACGGGAGGCAGCAGUGGGGAAUAUUGCACAAUGGGCGGAAGCCUGAUGCAGCAACGCCGCGUGCGGGAUGACGGCCUUCGGGUUGUAAACCGCUUUCGCCUGUGACGAAGCGUGAGUGACGGUAAUGGGUAAAGAAGCACCGGCUAACUACGUG
Molecule: ribosomal RNA, 468 nt
Filed under: uncultured bacterium
Lineage: Bacteria
Description: partial 16S ribosomal RNA
Rfam family: Bacterial small subunit ribosomal RNA
Source: RNAcentral